Molecule: ribosomal RNA, 490 nt
Filed under: Salmonella enterica subsp. enterica serovar Enteritidis
Lineage: Bacteria; Pseudomonadati; Pseudomonadota; Gammaproteobacteria; Enterobacterales; Enterobacteriaceae
Description: partial 23S ribosomal RNA
Rfam family: Bacterial large subunit ribosomal RNA
Source: RNAcentral
ACCGGCGAUACCCGAAUGGGGAAACCCAGUGUGAUUCGUCACACUAUCAUUAACUGAAUCCAUAGGUUAAUGAGGCGAACCGGGGGAACUGAAACAUCUAAGUACCCCGAGGAAAAGAAAUCAACCGAGAUUCCCCCAGUAGCGGCGAGCGAACGGGGAGGAGCCCAGAGCCUGAAUCAGCAUGUGUGUUAGUGGAAGCGUCUGGAAAGGCGCGCGAUACAGGGUGACAGCCCCGUACACAAAAGCGCAUGUGCUGUGAGCUCGAUGAGUAGGGCGGGACACGUGGUAUCCUGUCUGAAUAUGGGGGGACCAUCCUCCAAGGCUAAAUACUCCUGACUGACCGAUAGUGAACCAGUACCGUGAGGGAAAGGCGAAAAGAACCCCGGCGAGGGGAGUGAAAAAGAACCUGAAACCGUGUACGUACAAGCAGUGGGAGCACCCUUUGGGUGUGACUGCGUACCUUUUGUAUAAUGGGUCAGCGACUUAUAUU